GUAGGUGAACCUGCGGAAGGAUCAUUAUUGAAUUAACUUGUUGGGUUGAUGCUGGCUCCUAGGAGCAUGUGCACACCCUUCAUCGUUUUUCCACCUGUGCACCCUAUGUAGUCCUGGAUACCUCUCGAGGCAACUCGGUUUUGAGGAUCUGCUGUGCGAAAGCCAGCCUUCCUUAGAUUUCCAGGUCUAUGUUUUUAUACACCCCAUUACAAGUUUAGAAUGUCAAUUAUGGGCUUCGUGCCUUUAAACUAAAUACAACUUUCAACAACGGAUCUCUUGGUUCUC
RNAcentral lists this unclassified non-coding RNA (285 nucleotides) under rhizosphere metagenome. Its description in RNAcentral is "partial ribosomal RNA internal transcribed spacer region". The record is from RNAcentral.